UGAUUUGACUUCAAGACGUGAUCGGUGUGGCUGCAAGCCUACAAAAGAUGAUGUAAAAAGAUGUUUCAUGUUAGACUUUGACAGAGCUGCGUUCAUAAUUGCUUCAACUGCUACGGAGGAAGAAAUGCUUCAAUGGUACCGUGAACACAUUGUGUGGACAGACAAAGCACUAACGAUGAAACUUAUUAGAAAAGGCAUCUUAUCUCGCAUUUAUGCUCCCAUGGUAAGAUUCAUUUUCUCAAAUUUCCUUUCUGGUUUCUACUCAAGCGAUUUAUACUG
This is a long non-coding RNA of Lathyrus oleraceus (garden pea), 279 nucleotides long. RefSeq lists it as uncharacterized. The record is from RefSeq and is a predicted model, not a curated record. The transcript has 3 exons. Lineage: Eukaryota; Viridiplantae; Streptophyta; Magnoliopsida; Fabales; Fabaceae.